Molecule: non-coding RNA, 120 nt
Filed under: Castor canadensis (American beaver)
Lineage: Eukaryota; Metazoa; Chordata; Mammalia; Rodentia; Castoridae
Source: RNAcentral
GUGUUGUAUGAAAGAAGAGGUUAACACUCCUCUUUGACAAGGAUGGAAGAGGCCCUUGGGCCUGACAACACAUGUAUGAUUAAAGCAUCUAAUCAUUCUUAGAGCCAGGCACCAGUGUUU